UCACUGAGACUGAGGGGGAGGAGCAGGGAAGGAUAGAAUGCCGACAGCACAGUGGUUCUAGUUCGGCAAAGUAGAACCAAGAGAGAGUUCUCAGAAUCAGGUGGUCACAGGCAGAAGAAUGCACAUUUAUGGGGGCUGUGGGGAGACAGACUCUGCAGGCGAGGGUGCUGGCGCUUCUGAGAAGUCCCGAAAGGUUCCAAGAACGAGCCGUUCCAUAAUUCACGCUGACUCAUUAGCGUCUCAGCCGAGUCCUCCCUUGCAAGUAAAUUGAGUGUUUGCCUCUGCAAGCCUGGGUUCGUUAUCCUCCAAACAUCACCUUCUGGAAGGACACCAGCCUCUUCUGACGUCGCCAGCCUGCCCGGAGGCAGCUUGGCUAAUCUGCUAUUCUUCGGGUGGCAGAUUCACUCCUGGCCUGGGUGUUCCGACGCCACCGCUGGCACCAAGAAGUGGGGGAGGAGGGAUGACGUCGUUAAGCCCCGUGAGGUGAAAGGAGAAUUUAUUCCCAGGAAAGGAACAGCGAAGAUUCUUGGUGAGAGGAAUUUUGGAAACUCCGUUACAAUCUCAGGGGACUCCAUGAGAGCGAGGUCCCGCAGUGACCCAAGCACCACGACACCACCCAAACUGCACAGGGUCAUGCACUGUAGGAGCCACUGAAAAAGGAGUGCAGGAGAAAGCUGGUCCUGGGGGGAAGGGAACGAAUUAGAAACUUCUGGGAGAAAACAGGAACUAUAAAGCUUCCCUUGUCUGAUUUGUUAAAAAUAAAAUGUAA
RNAcentral lists this long non-coding RNA (769 nucleotides) under Chinchilla lanigera (long-tailed chinchilla). RNAcentral's name for it is "lncRNA (ENSCLAG00000023076.1)". The record is from RNAcentral. Lineage: Eukaryota; Metazoa; Chordata; Mammalia; Rodentia; Chinchillidae.